UGGCAUAGUGCAAAAUAGUCCUUUCUUCAUC
Molecule: non-coding RNA, 31 nt
Filed under: Rattus norvegicus (Norway rat)
Lineage: Eukaryota; Metazoa; Chordata; Mammalia; Rodentia; Muridae
Source: RNAcentral